This 614-nucleotide ribosomal RNA is filed under the name uncultured bacterium. Its description in RNAcentral is "bacterial SSU rRNA". The stretch from base 1 to 519 matches the Rfam family "Bacterial small subunit ribosomal RNA", at positions 338 to 873 of the family's 1533-position model. The record is from RNAcentral.
CCUACGGGAGGCAGCAGUGGGGAAUAUUGGACAAUGGGCGAAAGCCUGAUCCAGCAAUGCCGCGUGAGUGAAGAAGGCCUUCGGGUUGUAAAGCUCUUUUACCCGGGAAGAUAAUGACUGUACCGGGAGAAUAAGCCCCGGCUAACUCCGUGCCAGCAGCCGCGGUAAUACGGAGGGGGCUAGCGUUGUUCGGAAUUACUGGGCGUAAAGCGUACGUAGGCGGCUUUGUAAGUCAGAGGUGAAAGCCCACGACUCAAUCGUGGAACUGCCUUUGAGACUGCUUCGCUUGAAGAUGGGAGAGGUUAGUGGAAUUCCGAGUGUAGAGGUGAAAUUCGUAGAUAUUCGGAAGAACACCAGUGGCGAAGGCGGCUAACUGGACCAUUCUUGACGCUGAGGUACGAAAGCGUGGGGAGCAAACAGGAUUAGAUACCCUGGUAGUCCACGCCGUAAACGAUGAUAACUAGCUGUCGGGGCUCUUGGAGCUUCGGUGGCGCAGCUACGACAUUAAGUUAUUCCGUCCGUCGGGUAGGUACGGCCGGCGAACGGUUAAAACGUAACAAAUAGAAUUAGUACGGCGUGAGACGUGCCGAACGGACGACGACGAGGGAGGUAGG